GGACGAACGCUGGCGGCGUGCUUAACACAUGCAAGUCGAACGGAAAGGCCUUUUCGGAGGUCCUCGAGUGGCGAACGGGUGAGUAACACGUGGGUGAUCUGCCCUGCACUCUGGGAUAAGCCUGGGAAACUGGGUCUAAUACCGGAUAGGACCGCACUUUAGUGUGUGUGGUGGAAAGUUUUUUCGGUGUAGGAUGAGCCCGCGGCCUAUCAGCUUGUUGGUGGGGUAAUGGCCUACCAAGGCGGCGACGGGUAGCCGGACUGAGAGGUUGGUCGGCCACAUUGGGACUGAGAUACGGCCCAGACUCCUACGGGAGGCAGCAGUGGGGAAUAUUGCACAAUGGGCGCAAGCCUGAUGCAGCGACGCCGCGUGGGGGAUGACGGCCUUCGGGUUGUAAACUCCUUUCGCCAGGGACGAAGCGUUUUGUGACGGUACCUGGAGAAGAAGCACCGGCUAACUACGUG
RNAcentral lists this ribosomal RNA (464 nucleotides) under uncultured bacterium. RNAcentral's name for it is "partial 16S ribosomal RNA". It matches the Rfam family "Bacterial small subunit ribosomal RNA", at positions 27 to 507 of the family's 1533-position model. The record is from RNAcentral.